UCUAAAGAGCAUAGGGAGAGUUCACCUAUCAAUGGGAUCUUCUGUUUUGGGCUCAAAAACCUUCAGUAGACAAAAUGAAACAAAAAGAUAUGUUAACAUUCUAAAAUAUGUAUUCUGGUAGAUGGAAGCUUUAGAUUUUUAGGACACAGAUUGUUUUUGUUUUUGUUUUGUUUUGUUUUGUUUUGGCAAUUUUUCAGGUUGAAUUAUUCAGCCAGUCAACAAUGUUCUAUGGCAUUUUGGGAAAGAUAGAGGUGAAAAGGAAAAGGUAAUCAUUAAGAGAAGAAAAGAAGAUUAUUUGGAAUGCAACUGGGAGAAUUUAUCAUCAAAAUGUGAAAACAUACAAGUUCAAGGGAAAGAAAAAAGAUAAGGAUGACUUACAACCAAUUAGCAGCAUUUCUUGGCAAAUCUGUGGUACUUGGCAUGAUUCCUGAAACAG
Molecule: long non-coding RNA, 436 nt
Organism: Sarcophilus harrisii (Tasmanian devil)
Lineage: Eukaryota; Metazoa; Chordata; Mammalia; Dasyuromorphia; Dasyuridae
Exons: 3
Source: RefSeq, a predicted model, not a curated record